CUGACGACCGGCGCACGGGUGAGUAACGCGUAUACAAUUUGCCUUUACAGGAGGAUAGCCCAGAGAAAUUUGGAUUAAUACUCCAUGGUAUUAUAAGAUCGCAUGGUUUUAUAAUUAAAGUUUCGGCGGUAGAAGAUGAGUAUGCGUCCUAUUAGCUAGUUGGUAAGGUAACGGCUUACCAAGGCGACGAUAGGUAGGGGUCCUGAGAGGGAGAUCCCCCACACUGGUACUGAGACACGGACCAG
This 245-nucleotide ribosomal RNA is filed under the name uncultured bacterium. Its description in RNAcentral is "partial 16S ribosomal RNA". It matches the Rfam family "Bacterial small subunit ribosomal RNA", at positions 88 to 334 of the family's 1533-position model. The record is from RNAcentral.